AUCCAGCUGACGUGUCCCGAAUAGGACGAAACGUGCGUCCUGGAU
RNAcentral lists this non-coding RNA (45 nucleotides) under Schistosoma mansoni. The record is from RNAcentral. Lineage: Eukaryota; Metazoa; Platyhelminthes; Trematoda; Strigeidida; Schistosomatidae.